This 158-nucleotide ribosomal RNA is filed under the name Alternaria alternata. Its description in RNAcentral is "5.8S ribosomal RNA". It matches the Rfam family "5.8S ribosomal RNA". Rfam says of the family: 5.8S ribosomal RNA (5.8S rRNA) is a component of the large subunit of the eukaryotic ribosome. It is transcribed by RNA polymerase I as part of the 45S precursor that also contains 18S and 28S rRNA. Lineage: Eukaryota; Fungi; Ascomycota; Dothideomycetes; Pleosporales; Pleosporaceae. The record is from RNAcentral.
UCAACAACGGAUCUCUUGGUUCUGGCAUCGAUGAAGAACGCAGCGAAAUGCGAUAAGUAGUGUGAAUUGCAGAAUUCAGUGAAUCAUCGAAUCUUUGAACGCACAUUGCGCCCUUUGGUAUUCCAAAGGGCAUGCCUGUUCGAGCGUCAUUUGUACCC